RNAcentral lists this long non-coding RNA (3567 nucleotides) under Populus trichocarpa (black cottonwood). Its description in RNAcentral is "long non-coding RNA (PTRI_LNC004310)". Lineage: Eukaryota; Viridiplantae; Streptophyta; Magnoliopsida; Malpighiales; Salicaceae. The record is from RNAcentral.
AAAGGUCUAUGAUUAAAGUAUUGGGAGAGACGGUAACCAUGCAUGAUCUAUUACGAGACAUGGGAAGGGAGGUCGUUCGUGAAUCGUCUCCAAAAGAACCUGGAUAGAGGACCAGAAAUUGGAAUCAAGAGGAUGCAUGGAAUGUGCUUGAGCAGCUGAAGGUAAAAAAAAAUAGUCAUGGAACACUUGACUGAUCAAAGAAAAAAAAUUAUUUAUUUUCUCUUAUUGAGUUCCAUAGUUUAAACUUUCUCGUUACACAUAAUUUUUAGUUUGGUAUAUAUAUUCUACUGUUUUUUAUAAUCUUUAUAUUUAUAUUUUUAAAUAUAAGUACACAUAGCAUCAUUUGAAUCUUUUGAUUGAAAGUAAAAGCUUUAUCUCGUAAAAUCAUCUCUAGAAGGUUUUAUUUGGUCAAUCUUCAAAAACUUAGGGAUUAAAAAAAAAAAACUUCUUACUUGAUUCAAUUUGGAAACCUCAAGGAGAAAAUUGAAACAAGUAUAACCUCACGGGGAGAAGUUGAAUUCUCCCCAAACUCAGGGGUUAAUUAAAAUUAACCUUUAAAUUUCUAUCCAUGCCCAGUUGCCCACGAAAGAGAAGAGGUACAUCCACGUGAAGCUCAUUUUGGGUUUGGGUUAGUUGAAAAUAUCUAGUGGGUGGGCCUUUUUUCUGUUUUUCUGUUUUUUUUUUGUUUUUAUGCACAGAAUACAUGAAAUAAUAAAUUUAAAUCCAACAAAUCCAAUAGAGAUAUAAUAUUGUAUACGAUCAACAUGAAAGAAUUUUACGAAAAGACAUGAAAAUAUCAUAUAUUAUGUGUCUCUGCCAGUCAUAAUUGUAUUGUUUUGUGUAUUAUCAAUUAUCUUUCUUGUAUAGGAAAUAUCAUGUUGGAUUUUGCUGAUGACAAACUUAAUCCUAGAGAUUGCAUCUGCGGUUUUUGACCAGACGGGUUAUGCAUUAAUUGGCAUGGUGUUGGCAUUUGUAGCUUUGCUUCUUGCUGCCGUUGAACUCAUUCACAUGGCUCGAAAGGAAAGAACUAAACGGGUGGGCCUAUUGCCACCUUUUAUUCUCCAUGCAACUAGAAAGCCUGUUGGCUGGUGCUGUCUGGCAAUGUGUUUAUUCGACUGUGGAGUAUAUGUAUACUCGUCAGAAGAAAGAUAAUCCAAUUAAGAUGUGUCUUUUACCUUUCAUUUUCUUAUUAUGCGUGGCGAUUUCCAAAUUAUUAGUCGACAAGAGUUCCGUUGUAAAUAGUUCUUAGCAAUAGUAUUUUCUUUGAACUAGAAGGAAUUUCUAGUAUUGUGUUCUAAGGACUCUUUUUAGUGGGAAUGAGUCAAAGAUUUUGAUUCCUAGAUUUUCUUAUCGAAGACCCAGACUUGUAAUGCAAUUAAGACACUAUAUUUUAGACAGUGAGCAUGAGUUGAUGUGGACAAUCUAGCUAUUAUUGAUAUGCGGUUCAGUAACCUCAAAUAACUAUGAAAGGAAAAAACUGUCAUUCACUGAUUUAAUUGGAAAUUAUUUGCGAGAAAGCUAAAAAGAAUUAGAGUUUUUUAAUUUAUAAAAUUAUAAUUCUAAAUUCUAAAAAAAAUUCAAUUAUUUUUAAAAUUAUUUUAAAAAAUAAAACAUCAACUAUUUAUAUAAUAGCUAAAUAAAUCUAUUAAAAUAAAUUGAAAAUAACUAGUAAAAUCAAGCAAAUAAUUCAAAAAUAAUAAGAAAAUAAAUAUAUUUCCUAGAUCUAAUUUGAGUAUAUUUUUUAUCUUGAUUGACUGACUUGUCAAGUCUUUAUUCCGUAUAAACAAAUUUUAUUCUAAAAGUCUGUUUGAUAUUUCUUCACUUAUCUAUGAAAUAUUACUUCUACUGUACAGAAUAGAAAUAAAAAUUAGAUGAUAAUAUUUAUUCUAAAAGUCUUCGUUAAGGAUAAAUGAACUUUAUUCUAAGAGUUUGUUUGAUAUUUUUUUAUUUAUUAAUGAAAUAUUACUUCUACUGUAUAGUUAUUGGGUUCCGAGUCGAUCCACCGGGUCAAUAGGCGAACAGUAUAUUCUUUGAAUUUAUUAGAAGAAAUGUGUAAUGUAAAUUAUAAAAAAUAUUUAUUUUUCUGAUAUAUAUAAUAAUAAUAAAUUAGAUGAUUGUCACACCCGACAUCGCGGCGACCUUAAAAAUUUAAUUCUUUGGAAAAGAACAGAUUUCUGGCAUCCUAUUCUUUAAUGGGGAUAUUCUUUGUUUAAGGAGUCGCCACCUAGUAUUAUGGUCACUAGGAACCCUAACUGGUCAACAGAGAGUCUACGGUUUGGGACUGGUUACGUAAAAGGGAAGAUAUUAUCACCCCUUAAACGUCCUGCCUGAGGCAGGCUGCACUGCUAGUUUUAUCUUUAAUUGCUAAAUGUUUAUUAGUUUACGAUAUGAUAAUUUACUUAUAAUAUUCCCGACUCUGGCGUCAGUGAAUAUUAAACUACGAAUACUUCCAACUCUGGCGUUGGUCAAUAUCACGUAGCUAUAAAAUAAAUUAGAUUAAUAUUUUUUAUUUUCCCGGCUCUAGCGCCAGUGAAUAAAUAAACAAAAUAAAAUUUGAUUUUUUUACGCAUGCAUAUUUUUUUAUUUUUUUUAGCUAAAUAAAAUAAAGUACAACAAAUAAAAAUAAUAUAAAUUUAAACCGGUAUUUUUAUUCCUGACUCUGGCGUCAGUGAAUAAACCAAUAAAUUUACAUUAUUUUUAUUCAUCUAAAUAAAUUUAAUUUUUUACGCAUGCACAUUUUUUAUUUUUUAGCUAAAUAAAAUAAAGUACAACAAAUAAAAAUAAUAUAAAUUUAAACCGGUGUUUUUUAUUCCUGACUCUGGCGCCAGUGAAUAAACCAAUAAAUUUACGUUAUUUUUAUUCAUCUAAAUAAAUUUAAUUUUUUACGCAUGCACAGUUUUUAUUUUUUAGCUAAAUAAAAUAAAGUACAACAAAUAAAGAUAAUAUAAGUUUAAACCGGUAUUUUUAUUCCUGACUCUGGCGCCAGUGAAUAAACCAAUAAAUUUACAUUAUUUUUAUUCAUCUAAAGAAAAUAAAAUACAACGAAUAAAAAUAAUAUAAAUUUAAACCGGUAUUUUAUUCCUGACUCUGGCGUCAGUGAAUAAACCAAUAAAUUUACAUUAUUCUUAUCCAUACAUGCAUAUUUUUUUAUUUUUUAUUUUUCUGCCUUUUAUUUUUUUAUUUUUUUUAUUAUAUAUUUUUUUAACUGGGCGGGGCCCGGCCCGGCCCAGAAAAAAAAAAAUUGGGGGCUGGGCCCAGCGCAGCCCACAUGGACUGGGCUGGACCCAGCCAGCCCAGCCCGGUCACUGGCCCAAGCCAGUGACCCGGCUGGGUAAAAACUAAAGGCACGCGUGACUUAUUCACGCGUGCCCGAACACUGGUGAAGGUAAUUAAAUUACCUUCACACAGUGUUCUUGCAGCACAUAAUUAUCUUUUGAAAUGAAAAUGCAGAGGAGACGGGGUCAUACCUGCUUCUGGAGACCGAAGAUGCUGCUUCUGGAGACCGAAGAUGUUGCUUCUGGAGACUGAGAUGCUUGCAGCGCUGCUUGAUGAUUUUCGCCUAAUGUU